Long non-coding RNA from Orcinus orca (killer whale), 1618 nucleotides. RefSeq lists it as uncharacterized. Lineage: Eukaryota; Metazoa; Chordata; Mammalia; Artiodactyla; Delphinidae. The transcript has 2 exons. The record is from RefSeq and is a predicted model, not a curated record.
GCCCCGGGAGAGGGCAUAAUGAAUCUUUAAUGUAACAGUUUGGAGCGAAUAUUUUUCCCCCUUAACCUCUAAGAGAUCAUUGUUUCCUCUUUCCAUGGUAACCAGAACACUUGAAAUUGCCAAAACUUGAGACAAAAACCAGAAAAAUACAAUUAACAGAAGACAAAUGUUAAAGGGAGCAUGUAUCACAGUGUGGCAAACGUUUUGAAAUUUGUUUGGAAAGAUUUUCUUCUUAUUUCUUUGCUUGGAAUAAGGCCACAAUGUCUAGAAUGUAGUAGCAAUAGCUUCAUGGCAUGCUGCUGCAUGUUCAUUGAAUAGAUUUUACUCUUUUCUUGAAAGGGAAGGAGAGACCCAUGGGCCUUGGCAGAAAUCAAGUGAAGGUAAAAUGUUGGAAGCUGCUCUGCGGGCAGGUCAUGAUGUUAACCACAAUGAGAAAGCCAGUCUGGCUGAAGUGCCCUUGCUCCCUCCCUUCCAUGGAAUGAACAAAUACUUAUUGAGCACCUACUAUUUUCUAGGCACCUCAGAGCCAUCAUCGUGAAUUUCAAUUAUCAUCAUGUAUUAACCCCUCAGAAGCCAGAGUUUGACCAUCUAAUAACCUUCCCUUUAUCUGCAACCUACCUGGAAUCCAGGAAGUCUGCAAGAAGCUGAAGUAAAUGUGACAUAGACUGUGCAUAUUUUAACCAUAGGGGAUGUCCUCAUUAAGAACUUAGUUGAUUUUUAUUUUACACACAAUUCUAACAAGUGGGUUUUCUGGGUUCCAAAGCCACAGCAAAUGGGAAGCAACAAUUCAGAAAGGGAGGAGGAAUGGGGUUAUAUGACAAUAAUUAAAAGUAACAGGGGACAGCACAACUGUAGAGGAGAAGACCAAAAAAACUGAGGGAAAAAAGACAUAAAAACUAAAAACUAAAUAAAAAGUGAAAGGAAGGAAGGAAGAAAGGAAAGAAAGAAUGAAAGAAGUCUAGAGUUGUUAGUUGUGGACAAACUGUCUUGCAUGCCUUAGUAGCUCUUGAGGUCAUCAUUGUGUUUAUAGUGAGACGCUAUGCUUAAGAAGCCAAGGAAGUGCAUCACAUUAGAUUUCUAGCCUACAGGGUUAAGAUUUUUUUUAAAGUUUUGGUACUUAAGAAAUAAAUCUUCAGUUUUUUGGGGAAAAUGUCUAUUCAAGAUGGUUCUUAUAAAGGUUCUUAUAACCAUGGUUUUAUUGUAGUGUAGUUCUGUGGACGUGUUAGUUAAUAUAGAUUUCAGGUUGAAAAAAUAUCUGACAUACGAGCUUUUGCUGAGACUGCUUCAUUUCACAAGAUAUUUAAUUCUGGGUUUGAACGAAGUCAUUGGAAGUGACACUUUUCGUAUCUGAAUUGUCAUGAUGCUAUUCUUGACAAGGAAUGAGUUCUUGAAUAUUUAGAAUAUUGUAGGUGAUAAAAAUGUCCUUAAUAAAUACGUUAUAAAGUUUGGCUUUCACAUUUUUAACUUUAAUUUUCAUGCUUGUCUCUUAAAAGCAAAUAAUCUUUUUCUAGGCAUAAGGUGCCCCCAAAAGUUACUUGGUUGUCUGAACUGUAUGUCUUUACUUCCUCCAGAUGGGAAUGAGAAUGAAUAAAAUACUGUUUGAUCAGUUUGGAAAAUG